GACGUAGGGCGCGAGCGUUGUCCGGAUUUAUUGGGCGUAAAGAGCUCGUAGGUGGUUUGUCGCGUUGUCCGUGAAAACUCACAACUCAAUUGUGGGCGUGCGGGCGAUACGGGCAGACUGGAGUACUGCAGGGGAGACUGGAAUUCCUGGUGUAGCGGUGGAAUGCGCAGAUAUCAGGAGGAACACCGGUGGCGAAGGCGGGUCUCUGGGCCGAUACUGACGCUGAGGAGCGAAAGCGUGGGGAGCGAACAGG
RNAcentral lists this ribosomal RNA (253 nucleotides) under uncultured bacterium. Its description in RNAcentral is "partial 16S ribosomal RNA". It matches the Rfam family "Bacterial small subunit ribosomal RNA", at positions 524 to 776 of the family's 1533-position model. The record is from RNAcentral.